UGUGGUGAUUGGACAGUUCUGUGUAUUUUUCCUUGUUUGGCGCUUGUGUUUUUUUUUCUUUCAGAGGCUGGGUGUGGCUUAUCGGCUGCUGGAGCUCUCUGCAAUCACUCACCUGAUCGUCAUCUGUAAUCACCGGCUGCAGCAUUUAUACCCUAGUUCAACUCUCCCAAACUGCCAGAUUAUUUCCGCCUACACCGUGUGCCUCCAACCAAUGAGCUCCAGCGCCUCACCACCCAGCCUCUCAUUCAAGCCUCACCAGCCUUCACCAGCCUCACUUCAAUAAAUAUCCAUUUACCCACCA
Molecule: long non-coding RNA, 301 nt
Organism: Labrus mixtus (cuckoo wrasse)
Lineage: Eukaryota; Metazoa; Chordata; Actinopteri; Labriformes; Labridae
Exons: 2
Source: RefSeq, a predicted model, not a curated record